AGUGAACGCUGGCGGUAGGCCUAACACAUGCAAGUCGAACGGCAGCACAGUAAGAGCUUGCUCUUACGGGUGGCGAGUGGCGGACGGGUGAGGAAUACAUCGGAAUCUACUUUUUCGUGGGGGAUAACGUAGGGAAACUUACGCUAAUACCGCAUACGACCUACGGGUGAAAGCAGGGGAUCUUCGGACCUUGCGCGAUUGAAUGAGCCGAUGUCGGAUUAGCUAGUUGGCGGGGUAAAGGCCCACCAAGGCGACGAUCCGUAGCUGGUCUGAGAGGAUGAUCAACCACACUGGAACUGAGACACGGUCCAGACUCCUACGGGAGGCAGCAGUAGGGAAUAUUGGACAAUGGGCGCAAGCCUGAUCCAGCCAUACCGCGUGAGUGAAGAAGGCCUUCGGGUUGUAAAGCCCUUUUGUUGGGAAAGAAAAGCAGCAGGUUAAUACCCCGCUGUUCUGACGGUACCCAAAGAAUAAGCACCGGCUAACUUCGUG
RNAcentral lists this ribosomal RNA (492 nucleotides) under uncultured bacterium. RNAcentral's name for it is "partial 16S ribosomal RNA". It matches the Rfam family "Bacterial small subunit ribosomal RNA", at positions 29 to 507 of the family's 1533-position model. The record is from RNAcentral.